Gallus gallus (chicken) is the source of this 485-nucleotide long non-coding RNA. RefSeq lists it as uncharacterized. NCBI's taxonomy places the organism in Eukaryota, Metazoa, Chordata, Aves, Galliformes, Phasianidae. The transcript is spliced from 3 exons. The record is from RefSeq and is a predicted model, not a curated record.
UUACAGAAAGAAAUAUCUAUCUAUAACAAAACAAUUAAUUUGUGAAGCAUGGCUACAACUUAGUCACCGAUACUCAAAUUUUUACCUUCAAGCUACCAUAACUCCACGACUGAAGUCACAGUUCACCUUUUCAGCCUUCCAAGGUGCAGUCAUCAGCAUUCUCACAGCACUUCUAGCAUUGCCAUGAGUUUUCAAAGACCUCCAAGCUGAAGUGUGGACAUAACAGCACUAAAACACAGAAGAUCUAUCCAGAAAAAGAGGCCAGAGUGCCAAAGGUAUUCGGUAGAUUUAAUGGUUGUGAACCGAUUUGUUCUUAAAUAUGAACAAUUCAGCAGAAUCUUAUGAGAGUGACCUAGUUUUUCUCUGUCUAGCCAGAAAAGAGGCAGUGGGAGUGAAGGAUUCACUGCAUCCCGUUUGCCAUUUAAGACUAGGUGUUUGUUUGAUAUAAUCGUCUGCAACCAGCAGAGAGGGACAGGAGUUCAUGG